GACGAACGCUGGCGGCGUGCUUAACACAUGCAAGUCGAACGGAAAGGCCCUGCUUUUGUGGGGUGCUCGAGUGGCGAACGGGUGAGUAACACGUGAGUAACCUGCCCUUGACUUUGGGAUAACUUCAGGAAACUGGGGCUAAUCCCGGAUAGGAGCUCCUUCUGCAUGGUGGGGGUUGGAAAGUUUCGUCGGUUGGGGAUGGACUCGCGGCUUAUCAGCUUGUUGGUGGGUUAGUGGCUUACCAAGGCUUUGACGGGUAGCCGGCCUGAGAGGGUGACCGGCCACAUUGGGACUGAGAUACGGCCCAGACUCCUACGGGAGGCAGAAGGGGGGAAUAUGGAACAAGGGGGGGAAGCCUGAGGCAGCAAGGCCGGGGGCGGGAUGACGGCCUUCGGGUUGUAAACCGCUUUCGCCGGUGACGAAGCGUGAGUGACGGUAAUGGGUAAAGAAGCACCGGCUAACUACGUG
This 468-nucleotide ribosomal RNA is filed under the name uncultured bacterium. Its description in RNAcentral is "partial 16S ribosomal RNA". It matches the Rfam family "Bacterial small subunit ribosomal RNA", at positions 28 to 507 of the family's 1533-position model. The record is from RNAcentral.